GGCAAGGAGCUUCCCAAGCAAAAAAGAAUGAGCCGGUUGCGUCGAGUCCGCGACCGGCACAA
Molecule: regulatory RNA element, 62 nt
Rfam family: DnaX ribosomal frameshifting element
About the family: This family represents a ribosomal frameshifting element found in the mRNA of the dnaX gene in E. coli.
Source: Rfam